GACGAACGCUGGCGGCGUGCUUAACACAUGCAAGUCGAACGGAAAGGCCCUGCUUUUGUGGGGUGCUCGAGUGGCGAACGGGUGAGUAACACGUGAGUAACCUGCCCUUGACUUUGGGAUAACUUCAGGAAACUGGGGCUAAUACCGGAUAGGAGCUCCUGCUGCAUGGUGGGGGUUGGAAAGUUUCGGCGGUUGGGGAAGGACUCGCGGCUUAUCAGCUUGUUGGUGGGGUAGUGGCUUACCAAGGCUUUGACGGGUAGCCGGCCUGAGAGGGUGACCGGCCACAUUGGGACUGGGAUACGGCCCAGACUCCUACGGGAGGCAGCAGUGGGGAAUAUUGCACAAUGGGCGGAAGCCUGAUGCAGCAACGCCGCGUGCGGGAUGACGGCCUUCGGGUUGUAAACCGCUUUCGCCUGUGACGAAGCGUGAGUGACGGUAAUGGGUAAAGAAGCACCGGCUAACUACGUG
RNAcentral lists this ribosomal RNA (468 nucleotides) under uncultured bacterium. RNAcentral's name for it is "partial 16S ribosomal RNA". It matches the Rfam family "Bacterial small subunit ribosomal RNA", at positions 28 to 507 of the family's 1533-position model. The record is from RNAcentral.